GAUGAAGAACGCAGCGAAAUGCGAUAAGUAAUGUGAAUUGCAGAAUUCAGUGAAUCAUCGAAUCUUUGAACGCACAUUGCGCCCCUUGGUAUUCCGGGGGGCAUGCCUGUUCGAGCGUCAUUAUCACCCCUCAAGCUCAGCUUGGUGUUGGGGCCUGCCGUCAAGGCAGCCCUUAAAAUCAGUGGCGGCGCCAUCUGGCUCUAAGCGUAGUAAUUCUUCUCGCUAUAGAGUCCCGGUGGAUGCUUGCCAUUAACCCCCAAUUUUCUAUGGUUGACCUCGGAUCAGGUAGGGAUACCCGCUGAACUUAAGCAUAUCAAUAAGCGGAGGA
RNAcentral lists this unclassified non-coding RNA (328 nucleotides) under soil metagenome. RNAcentral describes it as "partial contains 5.8S ribosomal RNA, internal transcribed spacer 2, and large subunit ribosomal RNA". The stretch from base 1 to 120 matches the Rfam family "5.8S ribosomal RNA", at positions 35 to 154 of the family's 154-position model. The record is from RNAcentral.